CACACACACAUGCACACACACAUGGACGGGAACACACACACGCACACACACACCCACAUUUGCUUCCUGAGACUGACUUGGUUCACUUAAUCUGAAUCUCUCUGGUGACACCCUUUUCCUGCAAAUGACCUAGCUUCAUACUUCUUUAUGGCUUAGAAAAGUGGCCGCCUAUCUAGCGUUCCCUCUCCUCAUCAGUUCCUCUGUGGAUAGGGUGGGUCCAUAACUUAGCCACUGUUUCCAGAUGAGUCUUGCUGUGUAGCUUGGGUUGGCUUCCAAGUCACGCUCCUCCUGCCUCACCCUCCUGAGAUGACAGGUAUGCCCCACAUUUCAGGCCUGGCAGGAAAUGAACUUUAACGACCCAUUGAACAUAACAUACAAAGCGGGAAACCGAUCUGUAGAUUAUCAUGGAGCAAGUUUAUAUUCUCAUCUUGUGCCAAAUUUUCAAAGAUCGUCACACCAGGCACAUUCCAGCACUCUUGAGAGUUAAUGGCAGCCACUCUGACAUUGUGGUCAGUUCAAUGUCACUUACUGUCCCGUAGAGGUGUAAAGAAAACCUUUUCCCCGUGUGUGUGUGUGUGUGUGUGUGUGUGUGUGUGUGUGUGUGUAUAAGGUUGGACUCACGUAGCCCAGCCAGACCUUGAACACAGCAAGCAGCCUAGGCUGACUUUGAACUCUCUAUUCUCCUGCCUUGGCCUCCUGCGAGCUGGGUUUACAGGUGUGUAUUACCUCUCCUAGACUAUUGAAGUGGUUUUGUUUGUUUGUUUUUGAGACAGGGUAGCCCUGGCUAGGGCUGAAUUCCUCCUGAUCCUUCUGUUUCAGCCUCCUGAAAGCUGGGACUAUAGGUCUGAGAUACACCACACCUGGUUAUAUAAGAUUUUUUGGAGGCUUCUGGAUUCAGGACUUUGAGGGAAUGUACGACCUGGAACUUAACAUGGGGAACCUGGCCCAGGAGACUCCCUUGUUCUUGUUGGCCAGUUCUUCAUCACCUGUUUCUUGCCCAGCGGAGAAAACCAGCUGUGGUCCUGUGUGACUUCUCCGUGCAGAUAUAACUCUGUGGAGAUCUAAAAUACGUUUUGUGUCCUCCAGGGCUCCUGGAAGUUCUUUCAAAGAGCAGGAUGUCUUUCCUACGACUGGACAGAGCUGAACCAGUUCAGGCAGUAGUGGGACCUGCCAGGAUCCCUCACCUUUGUCCUGAAGGCCAUGGAGAUACAUACCUUUGUCUAUCCUUGGCCCUGGAGAAGUUUCUUAAUGGGCCAAGGACAGAUGUUCUGAGAUAUCCAACCCCAGGCUGAGAAAAUGACAGAUCUGCUUAGUUCUGGAUCCUACAGAUGCACAGAGGUUAAGGGUAAGGGACUGUGGAGACAGAAGACAGACUCACCAGGAGUAUAGGAGGGUCAUGGACUCCACACUUCUGGGAAGUACUGGCAUGAGAAGAGAAGGGGCGGGAUACACAGACACCUCCUCUUACCCUACUGACUCUGGGCCCGCCAGGUCUGCCAGCAGUGAUCUGUAUUCUCAAAGGGGCCUGGUCCUGACAUGCUCCCUUUGAAGGACUUCUAUCCACCUUUAAAAAAUCUAAAUUUGAGAGCAUUUUCUUGGUGCUUCCUGGUUCCGUUGGAGACAGACCUUUGUGGGUCAGAAGAGGCCAGAGGACCCUAUGCUGUUUGGGCUCCAAGAGCCUGGCUUUGUUUGCUAAACACUAGCAAGAUUAGGCAACUUUACAAACAGAACCAAGGUCCUGGCCAGCUGCCCAGGGUGGUUACAGUCCUGGGCACAGAGGCAGGACAAGCACACGUGGACACCCUCAGGGACAGCAGGCAGGCAGGAGAGGUUGGCAGGAGGCCUCCAUGGUCACCUUUGCCUGGCUGUCCAGAUGCUCUUAAAUAAGCAUUAUUGGGUACAAAUUUUCGGCAAUUUACUUCAGAAGAUAGCAUCCAUUCUGGCCAUAAAUGCUGAGGCUGUAGGAGAAAGAAGGCGUCUGAUUCCAACAAGGAUCCAUGCGUUGCCUGGCGGACAUCUAGGUUUCCUACCUAUGGCGGGAGGAGCAGUAAUGAGCAGAGAUGAGCAACUCUCUCCCUAGGAAGACUGAAGUCUUUUGGAUACACGCCCCAGAGUAUCACGGCUGGGUCAUAUGGAAGUUCUAUUCUUAGCUUUUUGACAAGCCUGCAGGCUAGUUUCCAGAGUGGUUGUACCAGCCUUGUUGUCAUUUGUUUUCUGGAUGAUAGGCAUCCUGACUGGGGUGAGAUGGAAUCUCAAAGUGGUUUUAAUUAGAUUUCCCUGAUGACCAAUGACGUUAAACACCUUUUAAAAUGAUGUUUAACCACCUA
This is a long non-coding RNA of Myodes glareolus (Bank vole), 2327 nucleotides long. RefSeq lists it as uncharacterized. Lineage: Eukaryota; Metazoa; Chordata; Mammalia; Rodentia; Cricetidae. The record is from RefSeq and is a predicted model, not a curated record.